Molecule: long non-coding RNA, 193 nt
Organism: Sinocyclocheilus rhinocerous
Lineage: Eukaryota; Metazoa; Chordata; Actinopteri; Cypriniformes; Cyprinidae
Exons: 4
Source: RefSeq, a predicted model, not a curated record
UGAAAAAGGUUUUUGCACAGUGAUCUGGACCCUUCUUAGCUAUACCUUAUCGCUGUUCACAGUUCACUCCGCUAGUGGCCACCACUGUGCAAAAAGCUUCUUCACAUUUCAGUCGAUACGAUUGUAAUUCUGUGGCAAGAAAAAGUGCAGAACCAAAUAAAUAUUACAAUUCUAAAGUUGUAAUACACCCAGU